Molecule: non-coding RNA, 100 nt
Filed under: Flavobacterium reichenbachii
Lineage: Bacteria; Pseudomonadati; Bacteroidota; Flavobacteriia; Flavobacteriales; Flavobacteriaceae
Description: SAM-I sequence
Rfam family: SAM riboswitch aptamer (S box leader)
About the family: The SAM riboswitch is found upstream of a number of genes which code for proteins involved in methionine or cysteine biosynthesis in Gram-positive bacteria. The SAM riboswitch acts at the level of transcription termination control.
Source: RNAcentral
GACUUAUCCAGAAAGACUGAGGGAAGAGGCCCUGUGAUGUCUUAGCAACCUGUUACCAAAUAAGGUGCUAAAUCCUUCCACUACGGUGGACAGAUAAGAU